AUUGAACGCUGGCGGCAGGCCUAACACAUGCAAGUCGAACGGCAGCACAGAAGAGCUUGCUCUUUGGGUGGCGAGUGGCGGACGGGUGAGUAAUGUCUGGGAAACUGCCCGAUGGAGGGGGAUAACUACUGGAAACGGUAGCUAAUACCGCAUAACGUCGCAAGACCAAAGUGGGGGACCUUCGGGCCUCACACCAUCGGAUGUGCCCAGAUGGGAUUAGCUAGUAGGUGGGGUAAUGGCUCACCUAGGCGACGAUCCCUAGCUGGUCUGAGAGGAUGACCGGCCACACUGGAACUGAGACACGGUCCAGACUCCUACGGGAGGCAGCAGUGGGGAAUAUUGCACAAUGGGCGCAAGCCUGAUGCAGCCAUGCCGCGUGUAUGAAGAAGGCCUUCGGGUUGUAAAGUACUUUCAGCGGGGAGGAAGGCGGUGAGGUUAAUAACCUCGCCGAUUGACGUUACCCGCAGAAGAAGCACCGGCUAACUCCGUGCCAGCAGCCGCAGUAA
This 506-nucleotide ribosomal RNA is filed under the name uncultured bacterium. RNAcentral's name for it is "partial 16S ribosomal RNA". It matches the Rfam family "Bacterial small subunit ribosomal RNA", at positions 30 to 523 of the family's 1533-position model. The record is from RNAcentral.